GGGCCCGUAGCUCAGCUAGGCAGAGCAAUCGGCUCUUAACCGAUGGGUCGAGGGUUCGAAAGGUUUGGAAACAAGCCCGAACAUCCCUCCGGGCCCG
Molecule: transfer RNA, 97 nt
Filed under: Methanomassiliicoccales archaeon
Lineage: Archaea; Methanobacteriati; Thermoplasmatota; Thermoplasmata; Methanomassiliicoccales
Description: tRNA-Lys
Rfam family: tRNA
About the family: Transfer RNA (tRNA) molecules are approximately 80 nucleotides in length. Their secondary structure includes four short double-helical elements and three loops (D, anti-codon, and T loops).
Source: RNAcentral